UCGGAGGGAAGAUAUAUAAACCUUUUGGCGGACGGGUGAGUAACGCGUGGGCAACCUGCCCUGUACCGGGGGACAACAGCCAGAAAUGGCUGCUAAUACCGCAUAAGCCUGCUGUGCCGCGUGGCACAGCAGGGAAAACCACGGUGGUACAGGAUGGGCCCGCGUCUGAUUAGUUAGUUGGCAGGGUAACGGCCUACCAAGACAACGAUCAGUAGCCGGCUUGAGAGAGUGGACGGCCACAUUGGGACUGAGACACGGCCCAGACUCCUGCGGGAGGCAGCAGUGGGGAAUAUUGCACAAUGGGGGGAACCCUGAUGCAGCAAUGCCGCGUGGGUGAAGAAGCACUCCGGUGCGUAAAGCCCUGUCAGCAGGGAAGAAAAUGACAGUACCUGGACAAGAAGCCCCGGCUAACUACGUGCCAGCAGCCGCGGUAAUACGUAGGGGGCAAGCGUUAUCCGGAUUUACUGGGUGUAAAGGGAGCGCAGGCGGCGUGGCAAGUCAGAUGUGAAAACCCGGGGCCCAACCCCGGGAGUGCAUUUGAAACUGCCAUGCUGGAGUGCCGGAGAGGUAAGCGGAAUUCCUAGUGUAGCGGUGAAAUGC
RNAcentral lists this ribosomal RNA (600 nucleotides) under uncultured bacterium. RNAcentral describes it as "bacterial SSU rRNA". It matches the Rfam family "Bacterial small subunit ribosomal RNA", at positions 62 to 689 of the family's 1533-position model. The record is from RNAcentral.